This 404-nucleotide ribosomal RNA is filed under the name uncultured bacterium. RNAcentral's name for it is "bacterial SSU rRNA". It matches the Rfam family "Bacterial small subunit ribosomal RNA", at positions 355 to 776 of the family's 1533-position model. The record is from RNAcentral.
UGGGGAAUAUUGCACAAUGGGGGAAACCCUGAUGCAGCGACGCCGCGUGAGUGAAGAAGUAAUUCGUUAUGUAAAGCUCUAUCAGCAGGGAAGAGAAUGACGGUACCUGAGUAAGAAGCCCCGGCUAACUACGUGCCAGCAGCCGCGGGAAUACGUAGGGGGCAAGCGUUAUCCGGAUUUACUGGGUGUAAAGGGAGCGUAGACGGCUUGGCAAGUCUGAAGUGAAAGCCCGCGGCUCAACCGCGGAACUGCUUUGGAAACUUUUAAGCUGGAGUAUCGGAGAGGUAAGCGGAAUUCCUAGUGUAGCGGUGAAAUGCGUAGAUAUUAGGAGGAACACCAGUGGCGAAGGCGGCUUACUGGACGAUAACUGACGUUGAGGCUCGAAAGCGUGGGGAGCAAACAGG